Molecule: ribosomal RNA, 253 nt
Filed under: uncultured bacterium
Lineage: Bacteria
Description: partial 16S ribosomal RNA
Rfam family: Bacterial small subunit ribosomal RNA
Source: RNAcentral
UACGGGGGGAGCAAGCGUUGUUCGGAUUUACUGGGCGUAAAGGGCGCGUAGGCGGCCAACUAAGUCGGACGUGAAAUCCCCGGGCUCAACCCGGGAACUGCGUCCGAUACUGGAUGGCUUGAAUCCGGGAGAGGGAUGUGGAAUUCCAGGUGUAGCGGUGAAAUGCGUAGAUAUCUGGAGGAACACCGGUGGCGAAGGCGGCAUCCUGGACCGGUAUUGACGCUGAGGCGCGAAAGCCAGGGGAGCAAACGGG